GGGCGAUUAGCUCAGCUGGUUAGAGUGCCGCUUUGACAUGGCGGAGGUCAGUAGUUCGAUCCUACUAUCGCCCACCA
RNAcentral lists this transfer RNA (77 nucleotides) under Candidatus Sumerlaeota bacterium. Its description in RNAcentral is "tRNA-Val". It matches the Rfam family "tRNA". Rfam says of the family: Transfer RNA (tRNA) molecules are approximately 80 nucleotides in length. Their secondary structure includes four short double-helical elements and three loops (D, anti-codon, and T loops). Lineage: Bacteria; Candidatus Sumerlaeota. The record is from RNAcentral.